This is a long non-coding RNA of Thamnophis elegans (Western terrestrial garter snake), 172 nucleotides long. RefSeq lists it as uncharacterized. NCBI's taxonomy places the organism in Eukaryota, Metazoa, Chordata, Lepidosauria, Squamata, Natricidae. The transcript has 2 exons. The record is from RefSeq and is a predicted model, not a curated record.
CGUCCUGGGGGGGGGAGAGGGGUUUGCAGACCAUUUCGAAAACUCGCGAAAUGUUGGUUUCAUUCGAUUCGGGUCGAUCUUCCCUUUUGGCAAAGGCGAUGCGCGCUUUUAAAGGAUCCACGCACCAGGAGAAGCAGUUUAAAUGAAGACGGGGAGAACGCGCUACCCCCCC